Molecule: ribosomal RNA, 254 nt
Filed under: uncultured bacterium
Lineage: Bacteria
Description: partial small subunit ribosomal RNA
Rfam family: Bacterial small subunit ribosomal RNA
Source: RNAcentral
AGAGCGAACGCUGGCGGCGUGCUUAACACAUGCAAGUCGAGCGGAAAGGCCCUUCGGGGUACUCGAGCGGCGAACGGGUGAGUAACACGUGAGCAACCUGCCCUUAGCUCCGGGAUAGCUCCGGGAAACCGGAAUUAAUACCGGAUACGACCACGGCCGACAUCUGCUGUGGUGGAAAGGAUUCCGGCUAAGGAUGGGCUCGCGGCCUAUCAGCUAGUUGGUGGGGUAAUGGCCCACCAAGGCGACGACGGGUA